GACGAGCGCUGGCGGCGUGCCUAAUACAUGCAAGUAGAACGCUGAAGCGAGGAGCUUGCUCUUCUUGGAUGAGUUGCGAACGGGUGAGUAACGCGUAGGUAACCUGCCUUGUAGCGGGGGAUAACUAUUGGAAACGAUAGCUAAUACCGCAUAACAAUGGAUGACACAUGUCAUUUAUUUGAAAGGGGCAAUUGCUCCACUACAAGAUGGACCUGCGUUGUAUUAGCUAGUAGGUGAGGUAAUGGCUCACCUAGGCGACGAUACAUAGCCGACCUGAGAGGGUGAUCGGCCACACUGGGACUGAGACACGGCCCAGACUCCUACGGGAGGCAGCAGUAGGGAAUCUUCGGCAAUGGGGGCAACCCUGACCGAGCAACGCCGCGUGAGUGAAGAAGGUUUUCGGAUCGUAAAGCUCUGUUGUAAGUCAAGAACGGGUGUGAGAGUGGAAAGUUCACACUGUGACGGUAGCUUACCAGAAAGGGACGGCUAACUACGUG
This 497-nucleotide ribosomal RNA is filed under the name uncultured bacterium. Its description in RNAcentral is "partial 16S ribosomal RNA". It matches the Rfam family "Bacterial small subunit ribosomal RNA", at positions 28 to 507 of the family's 1533-position model. The record is from RNAcentral.